Neofelis nebulosa (Clouded leopard) is the source of this 580-nucleotide long non-coding RNA. RefSeq lists it as uncharacterized. The record is from RefSeq and is a predicted model, not a curated record. NCBI's taxonomy places the organism in Eukaryota, Metazoa, Chordata, Mammalia, Carnivora, Felidae. The transcript is spliced from 3 exons.
AAUCCACCAUGAAGAAGAAACCAUUCGUAUUCUUCAUAGCUAUAAAGAAUACCCCCAAAUAGAAAGUUCCUGGAUUACCUUCAAGUAUAUAUCAAGUAAAUAUAAUCACUGUAUCCAUGGAAUGACAUAGGAGCGAAUGCCUGGCAAAUAUUUCCCAUUUAUUAUUUCACUUAUUCCACCAACAACUCUAUAAGGAGAAAACAACCAACCCAACCAACCACCAUACCGUGAGAAAACCCAAGCAGCUGUAAAGAGGACUCUAUGGAGAAGAAUCUAGGCCCCCAGCCCAACUUUGCAGUGUGUGAGUGAGCCAUCUUAAAAGUAGAUCCUCUAGCCGCCCCCAAAUUAUCACAGGUGACACUGCAUGAAAUAUGAACAAGUCAUGAGGUCUACCCAAACUGCAAAUUUGUGAGCAAAAUUUAAAUCACUACUGCUAUUUUAAGACACUCCAGUUUAGACUGCUCUGUUAUGCAGUGAUUGAUUACUGAAAUACUAUGUUAUAUAUACACACGUAUGUUAUCUAAAAAGACCACUUUUAAUUCUGGUGUAAUUUAAAAUAAAUUUCAAUAUCUGACAAACU